GAAAUGCGAUAAGUAAUGUGAAUUGCAGAAUUCAGUGAAUCAUCGAAUCUUUGAACGCACCUUGCGCUCUUUGGUAUUCCGAAGAGCAUGCCUGUUUGAGUGUCAUGAAAAUAUCAACCUUGACUUGGGUUUUGUGCUCUAGUCUCGGCUUGGAAUUGGGUGCUUGCCGCUUUUACGAGCGGCUCACCUUAAAUGUAUUAGCUGGAUCUGUCUUUGAGACUUGGUUUGACUUGGCGUAAUAAGUAUUUCGCUAAGGACAUUCUUCGGAGUGGCCUCGUUUCUAGGACGCUUGUCCGCUUUCCAAUACAAGUUCCACCUCGUGGACAUGACUUUUUAUUAUCUGGCCUCAAAUCAGGUAGGACUACCCGCUGAACUUAA
Molecule: unclassified non-coding RNA, 378 nt
Filed under: soil metagenome
Also listed under: 1 other name
Description: partial contains 5.8S ribosomal RNA, internal transcribed spacer 2, and large subunit ribosomal RNA
Rfam family: 5.8S ribosomal RNA (bases 1-105)
Source: RNAcentral